This 71-nucleotide transfer RNA is filed under the name Bos taurus (domestic cattle). It matches the Rfam family "tRNA". Rfam says of the family: Transfer RNA (tRNA) molecules are approximately 80 nucleotides in length. RNAcentral also lists the same sequence under 2 other names. The record is from Rfam by way of RNAcentral. Lineage: Eukaryota; Metazoa; Chordata; Mammalia; Artiodactyla; Bovidae.
UCACUGGUGGCUCAGUGGUAAAGAAUCUGCCUGCAAUGCAGGGGACCCAGGUUCGAUCCCUGGGUUGGGAA